UUCCUCCCCACGCCCCGGAAGCGGGGAAGGACUCUUUCCCGCGGUGAAGAAACAGGGCUUGUGAUGGAGGUCAGAUGCCAGAGGGCUGCCUGCGUCUGUCGCGUAGAGUUGCAGAUGAACAUGGCCUUGAGGUAAAUCCUGCCCUUGUUGAAGUUCAGUUUCAGCAGAUGAUUUCUGGCAUUUUAAGGAAUUGGAAUAUUUUACAAGAAACAAAAGUUUUAUUUGCUUCUGCCCUAGACUUAAUUUUUCUUCUUGUAGAAGAUGAGAAACAGUUUAAACAAAAAUUCUUUAUAGUAAAUAAUUAUGAUGCUUAAAUUAAAUGGAUUUUAAAUGUCAAAGCCACUUGUAGAUGGUUUUAUUCUUGGUCAAAUAAAAUUUUACUAACCUC
Molecule: long non-coding RNA, 388 nt
Organism: Myotis brandtii (Brandt's bat)
Lineage: Eukaryota; Metazoa; Chordata; Mammalia; Chiroptera; Vespertilionidae
Exons: 2
Source: RefSeq, a predicted model, not a curated record